Non-coding RNA from Ictidomys tridecemlineatus (thirteen-lined ground squirrel), 467 nucleotides. The record is from RefSeq and is a predicted model, not a curated record. NCBI's taxonomy places the organism in Eukaryota, Metazoa, Chordata, Mammalia, Rodentia, Sciuridae.
UAGAAACCUUGAAAAAUAGCUACCUGAACUCUGUAGUGGUGACACAAUUGGCAAUUGUGUUUGGGUAAUGAAGAAGCUAGAAAAAUGAACAUAGUGAACUUAUGGAUCUGGCUAAGAAGACCUCUAAUGAGAAUCUUGAAAGUACAGCCUGCAAUUCUAUCCUGUAUGGCAAGGUCUUUGGGAAGAAGUAAGACUUUAGCAUGUUGGUGUGACGAAGUCACAGGAAGCCUACUGGAGAACCAAAGGCUACACAGGGCACAGAUGAGUUGUCCAGUGGAGAUAUCUAGGCCAACCAGCUGACAUUCACCAGAAGCUACCAGAUGGGAAAGUGAGACCAUCCUGGACCUUUGUGCUUUAGUGAAGCUCUUAACAACUGCAUGAAAGACCUUGGGCAAAUUCAAAAGAAGGACCAUCCCACUAAGCCAGAUCAAAAUGCUGACCACAGAAUUGAAAGUAUAUGAAAUGGA